GACGAACGCUGGCGGCGUGCCUAACACAUGCAAGUCGAACGGAGCCAGCCCCUUCGGGGACUGACUUAGUGGCGAACGGGUGAGUAACGCGUGAGAAACCUGCCUUUCAGUGGGGGACAACAGUUGGAAACGACUGCUAAUACCGCAUAAUGUCAUUUGGGGGCAUCCUCGAAUGACCAAAGAUUUAUUGCUGAAAGAUGGUCUCGCGUCUGAUUAGCUAGAUGGCGGGGUAACGGCCCACCAUGGCGACGAUCGGUAGCCGACCUGAGAGGGUGAUCGGCCACAUUGGGACUGAGACACGGCCCAAACUCCUACGGGAGGCAGCAGUGGGGAAUAUUGGGCAAUGGGGGAAACCCUGACCCAGCAACGCCGCGUGGAGGAAGAAGGUUUUCGGAUCGUAAACUCCUGUCCUCAGGGAAGAGCAGAAGACGGUACCUGAGGAGGAAGCCCCGGCUAACUACGUG
RNAcentral lists this ribosomal RNA (464 nucleotides) under uncultured bacterium. RNAcentral's name for it is "bacterial SSU rRNA". It matches the Rfam family "Bacterial small subunit ribosomal RNA", at positions 28 to 507 of the family's 1533-position model. The record is from RNAcentral.